This 253-nucleotide ribosomal RNA is filed under the name uncultured bacterium. RNAcentral describes it as "partial 16S ribosomal RNA". It matches the Rfam family "Bacterial small subunit ribosomal RNA", at positions 524 to 776 of the family's 1533-position model. The record is from RNAcentral.
UACGGGGGGGGCAAGCGUUGUUCGGAAUUACUGGGCGUAAAGGGCUCGUAGGCGGCCAACUAAGUCAGACGUGAAAUCCCUCGGCUUAACCGUGGAACUGCUCGGUAUACUGGCGGUCUUGAGCAACCUAGGGGCGAGCGGAACAAAUGGUGGAGCGGUGAAAUGCGUAGAUAUCAUUUGGAACGCCAAUGGUGAAAACAGCUCGCUGGGGGUUUGCUGACGCUGAGACACGAAAGCCAGGGGAGCAAACGGG